CGAGUCCACCAGGCGGGUGGCUGCCCUGCGCAUCCAGCUUCUCACACGCGAGACACAGAAGAGAGGAGGGAGUUAGAGAAGGUGGUAGAACAAGGCCAGGGGAGAAGGAGCAGCAGGAAGGGGCGCAGUCUGGGGAGCUGCUGUUUCAUACAUCCUGAGGAGGGACAAGGAGUGGCAGAUGCCCACAUCCUGGAGAUGGUGUUGGAGGAGCCGGAGAAGCAACUUCCUUCUGAAACGUCCAGACUCAGGUCUGACCUUCGGAGCCAGGGAACAACAUCACACAGCUGCUCAGGCUGGAGACCCAGGAGUGCAGCUGGCCCAAGUCCCAGCCCGAGUCCAAAGGGAGGAGAAGGCCGACGUCCCAGCUCGAAGACAGUCGGGCACAGAGCGAAUUCUCCCUCCUCAGCCCUUCGGUUCCAUUCAGGCCUCAGUGGGUCCGAAGAUGCCC
This is a long non-coding RNA of Equus quagga, 448 nucleotides long. RefSeq lists it as uncharacterized. The record is from RefSeq and is a predicted model, not a curated record. Lineage: Eukaryota; Metazoa; Chordata; Mammalia; Perissodactyla; Equidae. The transcript has 3 exons.